AAUCAAAUUCAAAACAAUUCAAAGAAAUUUCAAAUAAAUAAUAAAAUUCUUAAAAAAAUAUUAAAAUGAUCACAAAUAUUACCCAAAUAUAUGUCAAUUCAACCUUAAUUUAAUUAUAAUUAAAAUCCUAUUGAAUUUCACUCAAACUUUAGACCAAACUUAAUUAAAUCUUAAACCCUAAUAAAUCCUAAAUCCUAAGUUAAAUCCUAAACAAACCUUAAACCAAAUCCUAAAUCCUAAUCCAAACUCUAAUCCAAUCCUAAAUCCUAGUCCAAAUCCUAAACCCUAAACCAAACCUUAAAUCAAACCCUAAUUCAAAUCCUUAAUCAAAUCCUAACCAAACCCUAAAUCCUAAUUCAAACCUUAAACUCUAAAUCAAACCCUAAAUCGAACCCUAGCCAAACCUUAAAUCAAAUCCUAAUCCAAAUCCUAAAUCAAACCCUAACCAAAUUCUAAAACCUAAUCCAAAUCCUAAUCCAAACCCUAACCAAAUCCUAAAUCAAAUUCCAAAUCCUAAUCCAAAUCCUAAUCCAAAUCCUAAAUCAAACCCUAACCAAAUCUUAAUUCAAAUCCUAAAUCAAAUCCUAACCAAAAUCUAAACCCUAAUCCAAACCCUAAUCCAAACCCUAAAUCAAACCCUAAC
Molecule: long non-coding RNA, 643 nt
Filed under: Physcomitrium patens
Lineage: Eukaryota; Viridiplantae; Streptophyta; Bryopsida; Funariales; Funariaceae
Description: long non-coding RNA (PPAT_LNC014263)
Source: RNAcentral